CCGAGUUUCCAACUCCCAAACCCCUGUGAAUAUACCUAUCGUUGCUUCGGCGGGGGAUCGUCCUGGGGCCCCAGGCGCUCGCCGGAGGACCCAAACCUCUGUCUUCAUGAGAAUCUUCUGAGUGAUGCAAGCAAAAAUACAUCA
Molecule: unclassified non-coding RNA, 144 nt
Filed under: uncultured Sordariomycetes
Lineage: Eukaryota; Fungi; Ascomycota; Sordariomycetes
Description: sequence contains ITS1
Source: RNAcentral